Dunckerocampus dactyliophorus (ringed pipefish) is the source of this 2147-nucleotide long non-coding RNA. RefSeq lists it as uncharacterized. The transcript is spliced from 3 exons. The record is from RefSeq and is a predicted model, not a curated record. Lineage: Eukaryota; Metazoa; Chordata; Actinopteri; Syngnathiformes; Syngnathidae.
UCAAGCCUAUCUGUGUGUGGAAUCAAAGAUGGUGGGGAACCAGGAUGUCGGCACGUGAAACUGGAACAUUCGUGAAUGACAACUAUGUGCCGCUAAGUUUGUUGAUAUCUGUGUGUGGAUCAAAGAUGGUGGGGAACCAGGAUGUCGACACGUGAAACUGGAACAUUCGUGAAUGACAACCAUGUGCCGCUAAGUUUGUUAAUAUCUGUGUGUGGAUCAAAGAUGGUGGGGAACCAGGAUGUCGACACGUGAAACUGGAACAUUCGUGAAUGACAACCAUGUGCCGCUAAGUUUGUUAAUAGAAGGCGGGUUAUUGGCAGUAAGCUGCAUAGGUCCGGUAAGGCCGGACUUUCGCACUACACAUUGUAGCCAGCAAACAGAUAGGAGAUGGCGGAAACGUCAUCUGUGCAUUUAAAUCAGGGAAAGCAGGCAAGGGGUUCCCGGGUAAAAUGGUCUGAGUUAAGGGAGGCGGUAGGUUACGAUGAAUAUUGUUUUGCCUGAGGUGUGUGCGUAGUUUGCGAGAUAUGGGCUGUGUCGAAAUCCGUGGUCUGCAGCCGACUAGGCCGCAUUUCGCGCCGCACGAAGGCUGUCCAAAUUACUAGAAAGUCUGCGAAGGCUCCUCCAAAUACGACCGACAAAUGUGUCCUCCUCUAUUGAAUGGAAGUCCAGCCAAGACACUGCUGAAAGGGGGCGGUAGUGCACCAAAGUGAUGGAUGCCUGCCGCCAUAAACAGAAGAAGACGACGAAGAAGUAGAAGUAGUACUGCAAGACGAGACAGCAGAGCGGCGAGGAAACGUACACUCACUCUUGGUUUCAGAACUGCUGCAGGAUUGAUUUGUGAUCAAGGUAUGGACCAACGACGUACAACCCUUCAGCUUGAGGACACAAGAUUAGGGCUUCGUGCGGAUGACCUGUCAGUCUAAACCACCCCCGGUAUCAGGUGCCAUUGCAGCAGGGGAAUUAAAGCCACUCCUUAGUUUCAUCUUGUACAAUAAAAUUUGGAGAAAAAACUAAUCUCAUUGAUUUCAUUUAUUUGAAAGAGUAGACUUGUUGAACUGAAGUAUAACAGAUUGGGCUUUUUGAAAGAAAUCGUUCAAAAAGUGUUGUAUUUUUGUAGUUGAGCAUCAAGGCACAAUCAUGUUUUAUCAAGGGAGCAGUGUUGCCAUGGUAUUGUCUGAUGCUUUGCUCUUGCAGAGGUGUCACACGAUCCUUAACCUUGAUUAAAGUGACCGAUUGGCAGCAAGGUGGAGACUAGGGUAGUGUUUUUAUGCCCUGGUGAGUCAUUCAUGUGUUUCCACAUAAUUGUAUAAUAUAUUACUGUAAUUGCAUUGAACGUUAGAUUUAAAAAUGCACUUUGGUGGCUGAAUCCAACCAUGGAAAGGUAAAGUAAUCAAAAGACACAGUAAUAUUAAAGUCUUUAAUAUUUUUACUUUUAAAAGACAUUUAAUUUUCACACGGUGAUGGUAAGCAUCAUGAAUGAAAGCCACAAAUACACUGCAAUGAUUAUGCACUGAUAAUGCAGAGGCUGGCUCAGUUAAUAGGUACAGAUACACCUGAAACACUGUCAUGGUUUAAAGUGUAAAUACGUUUUGACUCAUAAUGAAUGUAAUUUUCACCAACAUAUCUGAUACGGCAUUUUUCCUACUAUAAAGAAAACUUAUGGAUUGGCUCAAUACUUCUUGUGAUGUUUUUGAGUAUUGUGUUCCUGCUGUCUGUCGGGGACGAGUUUGUUAUUCAAACAGUUGCUGGCAUUUGACAAGUUUAUGUUUAGGCCUUUAGGAAACAUUCUGGCCGGGAGCAAUUUGAUAAGAUGUCACACCCAAGAAAACGAGGUAAACAAUUUUAUAGAGCUUCUGUGCCUGCACACCAGAUAACAUUCACAUAUACACAUGUCAGUUUCUAGGGUUUUUUUUAAUGAAUGACUUGACAUCUGUAUUGUUUAGGAUUAGACUAUUUGAGUGGUUUGUGCCUCACCAUUAUUUCCACAUAUAAAAAUGCCACAAUUCUCCCAACAGUGCAGCUCAGAGGCCCAGCUUGUCAUUACCAGAUGUGAUGGACAGGCUCGUCUGCCUCGGCAGCUAUCGACAGCAGGAUGGCCUUGGGAGUGUUCUCGAAAAGUGCCGCUCUGUUCUGCGUCUGGCCCUUCU